UUAACUUAUUUAUAAGCUACUCAGAGAUGCCAAAAAAACAAGAGUUUGGAUUCCUCCGGCGGUCCGCUCCCUGAGGAGCCUCCCGCCGAAGCAACUUUUCAGUACGUUCACAAAGGGUUGGGAGUUUUGCAACUCUGUAAUGAUCCCUCCGCUGGUUCACCAACGGAGA
This 169-nucleotide unclassified non-coding RNA is filed under the name uncultured fungus. Its description in RNAcentral is "sequence contains ITS1". Lineage: Eukaryota; Fungi. The record is from RNAcentral.